RNAcentral lists this ribosomal RNA (508 nucleotides) under uncultured bacterium. Its description in RNAcentral is "partial 16S ribosomal RNA". The record is from RNAcentral.
GGAGUUAGCCGGUGCUUCUUCUGCGAGUAACGUCACAGAUGUAAGGUAUUAACUUACACCCUUUCCUCCUCGCUGAAAGUGCUUUACAACCCGAAGGCCUUCUUCACACACGCGGCAUGGCUGCAUCAGGGUUUCCCCCAUUGUGCAAUAUUCCCCACUGCUGCCUCCCGUAGGAGUCUGGGCCGUGUCUCAGUCCCAGUGUGGCUGAUCAUCCUCUCAGACCAGCUAGGGAUCGUCGCCUAGGUGAGCCUUUACCUCACCUACUAGCUAAUCCCACCUGGGCUUAUCCAUCAGCGCAAGGCCCGAAGGUCCCCUGCUUUCCCCCGUAGGGCGUAUGCGGUAUUAGCAGUCGUUUCCAACUGUUAUCCCCACAAAUGGGCAAAUUCCCAGGCAUUACUCACCCGUCCGCCGCUCGUCAUCUUCAAAGCAAGCUUUUGAAUGUUACCGCUCGACUUGCAUGUGUUAGGCCUGCCGCCAGCGUUCAAUCUGAGCCAGGAUCAAACUCUGA